GACGAACGCUGGCGGCGUGCUUAACACAUGCAAGUCGAGCGGAGCGGCGGAGGGGUGAGUAACGCGGGAGUAAUUGCCCCCCUCUCUGGGAUAGGAGUUGGAAACGGGUGCUAAUACCGGAUAGUGGGGGUUGACUGGCGGGCUAUGAGCUUGUUGGGGGGGUAGUGGCCUACCAAGGCGACGACGGGUAGCCGGCCUGGGAGGGGGAACGGCCUCAUUGGGCUGCGGUAGGGCCCAGAGUGCAACGUGGGGCAGGGGUGGGAAGUCUUGUGCACUGGGGGAGACUGUGAUGCAGCGACGCCGGGUGGGGGAUGACGGCCUUCCGGUUGGAAACCGCUUUCAGCCAUGACGCGGUAGUGGCAGAAGAAGCACCGGCUAACUACGUGCCAGCAGCCGCGGUAAUAC
This 405-nucleotide ribosomal RNA is filed under the name uncultured bacterium. Its description in RNAcentral is "partial 16S ribosomal RNA". It matches the Rfam family "Bacterial small subunit ribosomal RNA", at positions 28 to 526 of the family's 1533-position model. The record is from RNAcentral.